UAUUGCACAAUGGGCGCAAGCCUGAUGCAGCAACGCCGCGUGAGGGACGACGGCCUUCGGGUUGUAAACCUCUUUUAGCAGGGAAGAAGCGAAAGUGACGGUACCUGCAGAAAAAGCACCGGCUAACUACGUGCCAGCAGCCGCGGUAAAACGUAGGACACGAGCGUUAUCCGGAGUUACUGGGCGUAAAGGGCGUUCAGGCGGGUGAUUAAGUUCGCUAUGAAAGCGCCGGGCUAAACCCGGCGAGGCCGGCGGAUACUGGUCAUCUGGAGUAAGACAGAGGGAGGUAGAAUUCCGCGUGUAGUGGUGAAAUGCGUAGAGAUGCGGAGGAAUACCAGUGGCGAAGGCGGCCUCCUGGGUCUUAACUGACGCUGAAGCGCGAAAGCAUGGGGAGCGAAC
Molecule: ribosomal RNA, 399 nt
Filed under: uncultured bacterium
Lineage: Bacteria
Description: bacterial SSU rRNA
Rfam family: Bacterial small subunit ribosomal RNA
Source: RNAcentral